This 29-nucleotide non-coding RNA is filed under the name Rattus norvegicus (Norway rat). Lineage: Eukaryota; Metazoa; Chordata; Mammalia; Rodentia; Muridae. The record is from RNAcentral.
UCCUUGUGCCUGCACCCCAACUUGCUAGU